RNAcentral lists this ribosomal RNA (410 nucleotides) under uncultured bacterium. RNAcentral's name for it is "bacterial SSU rRNA". It matches the Rfam family "Bacterial small subunit ribosomal RNA", at positions 29 to 484 of the family's 1533-position model. The record is from RNAcentral.
AACGAACGCUGGCGGCAGGCCUAACACAUGCAAGUCGAACGCCGUAGCAAUACGGAGUGGCAGACGGGUGAGUAACACGUGGGAACGUACCCUUCGGUUCGGAAUAACUCAGGGAAACUUGAGCUAAUACCGGAUACGUCCGAGAGGAGAAAGAUUUAUCGCCGAGGGAUCGGCCCGCGUCUGAUUAGCUUGUUGGUGAGGUAACGGCUCACCAAGGCGACGAUCAGUAGCUGGUCNGAGAGGAUGAUCAGCCACAUUGGGACUGAGACACGGCCCAAACUCCUACGGGAGGCAGCAGUGGGGAAUAUUGGACAAUGGGCGCAAGCCUGAUCCAGCCAUGCCGCGUGAGUGAUGAAGGCCCUAGGGUUGUAAAGCUCUUUUACCCGGGAAGAUAAUGACUGUGCCGGGAG